GUUGUUGUGGCCGAGAGGUUAAGGCGAUGUGACUUGAAAUCCAUGGUGGGUUGUCGUCCCCGCGCAGGUUCGAGUCCUGCCAGCAACG
This 88-nucleotide transfer RNA is filed under the name Gasterosteus aculeatus (three-spined stickleback). It matches the Rfam family "tRNA". From Rfam's summary of the family: Transfer RNA (tRNA) molecules are approximately 80 nucleotides in length. Their secondary structure includes four short double-helical elements and three loops (D, anti-codon, and T loops). Further hydrogen bonds mediate the characteristic L-shaped molecular structure. tRNAs have two regions of fundamental functional importance: the anti-codon, which is responsible for specific mRNA codon recognition, and the 3' end, to which the tRNAs corresponding amino acid is attached (by aminoacyl-tRNA synthetases). tRNAs cope with the degeneracy of the genetic code in two manners: having more than one tRNA (with a specific anti-codon) for a particular amino acid; and 'wobble' base-pairing, i.e. permitting non-standard base-pairing at the 3rd anti-codon position. Lineage: Eukaryota; Metazoa; Chordata; Actinopteri; Perciformes; Gasterosteidae. The record is from Rfam by way of RNAcentral.